This 490-nucleotide ribosomal RNA is filed under the name uncultured bacterium. RNAcentral describes it as "bacterial SSU rRNA". It matches the Rfam family "Bacterial small subunit ribosomal RNA", at positions 28 to 514 of the family's 1533-position model. The record is from RNAcentral.
GACGAACGCUGGCGGCGUGCUUAAUACAUGCAAGUCAACUGAACUUAAGAUAGCAAUAUUUUAAGGGAGGUGGCGCACGGGUGAGUAACACGUAGGUAAUCUGCCUUUAGGACUGACAUAACCCAGAGAAAUCUGGGCUAAUAUCAGAUGAUGCAGCGGCUCGACAUCGAGACAGUUGUUAAACCUUCGGGGCCUAAAGAUGAGCCUGCGUCUGAUUAGGUAGUUGGCGGGGUAACGGCCCACCAAGCCUGCGAUCAGUAACUGGUGUGAGAGCACGACCAGUCACACGGGCACUGAGACACGGGCCCGACUCCUACGGGAGGCAGCAGUAAGGAAUAUUGGUCAAUGGACGAAAGUCUGAACCAGCCAUGCCGCGUGGAGGAUGAAGGUCCUCUGGAUUGUAAACUUCUUUUGCAUGGGACGAAAAAACUUAUUUAUUAAGGACUGACGGUACCAUGAGAAUAAGCACCGGCUAACUCCGUGCCAGCAG